CCCCGCCACACGAACAAAACCCCGGCGCGAGACGCGCCAAGGAAUAGAAAACGAAGAGAUAGGGAACGGGUGGCCCGUCGAGUGCCGGAGACGGAUCUCUCGCGGGCGACCCCUUCUCGUUUGGAAACAAAACGACUCUCGGCAACGGAUAUCUCGGCUCUCGCAUCGAUGAAGAACGUAGCGAAAUGCGAUACUUGGUGUGAAUUGCAGAAUCCCGUGAACCAUCGAGUCUUUGAACGCAAGUUGCGCCCGAAGCCUUCGGGCCGAGGGCACGCCUGCCUGGGUGUCAUGCGUCGUCGCCCCCCGACCAUCGGGACGGGCGGAGAUUGGUCUCCCGUGCGCUCCCGCUCGCGGUUGGCCGAAAUACGAGUUGUUGGCGGCCGAUAGCGCCCCG
This 394-nucleotide ribosomal RNA is filed under the name Passiflora elegans. Lineage: Eukaryota; Viridiplantae; Streptophyta; Magnoliopsida; Malpighiales; Passifloraceae. The record is from RNAcentral.